AGUGAACGCUGGCGGUAGGCCUAACACAUGCAAGUCGAACGGCAGCACAGUAAGAGCUUGCUCUUACGGGUGGCGAGUGGCGGACGGGUGAGGAAUACAUCGGAAUCUACUUUUUCGUGGGGGAUAACGUAGGGAAACUUACGCUAAUACCGCAUACGACCUACGGGUGAAAGCAGGGGAUCUUCGGACCUUGCGCGAUUGAAUGAGCCGAUGUCGGAUUAGCUAGUUGGCGGGGUAAAGGCCCACCAAGGCGACGAUCCGUAGCUGGUCUGAGAGGAUGAUCAGCCACACGGGAACUGAGACACGGUCCAGACUCCUACGGGAGGCAGCAGUGGGGAAUAUUGGACAAUGGGCGCAAGCCUGAUCCAGCCACACCGCGUGGGUGAAGAAGGCCUUCGGGUUGUAAAGCCCUUUUGUUGGGAAAGAAAAGCAGCAGGUUAAUACCCCGCUGUUCUGACGGUACCCAAAGAAUAAGCACCGGCUAACUGCGU
This 491-nucleotide ribosomal RNA is filed under the name uncultured bacterium. Its description in RNAcentral is "partial 16S ribosomal RNA". It matches the Rfam family "Bacterial small subunit ribosomal RNA", at positions 29 to 506 of the family's 1533-position model. The record is from RNAcentral.